This is a long non-coding RNA of Spea bombifrons (plains spadefoot toad), 315 nucleotides long. RefSeq lists it as uncharacterized. The record is from RefSeq and is a predicted model, not a curated record. The transcript has 2 exons. Lineage: Eukaryota; Metazoa; Chordata; Amphibia; Anura; Pelobatidae.
CAGCGGGGGGAAGUGCACAUGACUACAAACGGGCUGUGCUGCGUUGCUGUUUCUUUUUCAAUAACGUGGGAUGAGAGAGAUUCAGCGUGAAGAUGCCAUUGGUCACAAUCCAUGUGAAGAUACGAAGGCUGCGUUGGAUUUGGCUCAAUAUUUUAUUCUGCAUGGGCCGAAGAAGGUUAGUGUUAUCAUCUGUUCUUAACUACCGACAGCUUCCAUAACACUGCGUAGGAAGGGAAAAGGUGUGGAUGAGGGCACUAGUACUGUUGUAAUUCCAUGUUAUCGUAAACUGCUAUCAUUAUAAUAAUUGCUAUAAAA